Molecule: ribosomal RNA, 456 nt
Filed under: uncultured bacterium
Lineage: Bacteria
Description: bacterial SSU rRNA
Rfam family: Bacterial small subunit ribosomal RNA
Source: RNAcentral
UACGGAAGGCAGCAGUGGGGAAUAUUGCACAAUGGGCGAAAGCCUGAUGCAGCUAUGCCGCGUGUAUGAAGAAGGCCUUAGGGUUGUAAAGUACUUUCAUCGGGGAGGAAAAACAAAACUAAUAAUUUUAUUUCUUGACGUUACCCGAAAAAGAAGCACCGGCUAACUCCGUGCCAGCAGCCGCGGUAAUACGGAGGGUGCUAGCGUUAAUCAGAAUUACUGGGCGUAAAGAGCACGUAGGUGGUUUUUUUAAGUCAAGAUGUGAAAUCCCUGGGCUUAACCUAGGAACUGCAUUUUGAAACUGAAAUACUAGAGUAUCGUAGAGGGAGGUAGAAUUCUAGGUGUAGCGGUGAAAUGCGUAGAUAUCUGGAGGAAUACCUGUGGCGAAAGCGGCCUCCUAAACGAAUACUGACACUGAGGUGCGAAAGCGUGGGGAGCAAACAGGGAUUAGAUACC